This 371-nucleotide ribosomal RNA is filed under the name uncultured organism. RNAcentral describes it as "bacterial SSU rRNA". It matches the Rfam family "Bacterial small subunit ribosomal RNA", at positions 526 to 896 of the family's 1533-position model. The record is from RNAcentral.
CGAAGGGUGCAAGCGUUGCUCGGAAUUAUUGGGCGUAAAGGGUUGGUAGGUGGUCUUGUUUGUCUGAGGUGAAAUCCCAUGGCUUAACUGUGGAAGUGCCUCAGAAACGGCAAGACUAGAGUCCUAGAGGGGUUUGUGGAAUUCCCGGUGUAGCGGUGAAAUGCGUAGAGAUCGGGAGGAACACCAGCGGCGAAGGCGGCAAACUGGAUAGGCACUGACACUCAACAACGAAAGCGUGGGGAGCAAACAGGAUUAGAUACCCUGUAGUCCACGCUGUAAACGAUGGGUACUAGGCUUUGUGGGAAUAGACCCCUGCAGAGCCGGAGCUAACGCAAUAAGUACCCCGCCUGGGAAGUACGGUCGCAAGACUA